RNAcentral lists this ribosomal RNA (467 nucleotides) under uncultured bacterium. RNAcentral describes it as "partial 16S ribosomal RNA". It matches the Rfam family "Bacterial small subunit ribosomal RNA", at positions 28 to 507 of the family's 1533-position model. The record is from RNAcentral.
GACGAACGCUGGCGGCGUGCUUAACACAUGCAAGUCGAACGGAAAGGCCCUGCUUUUGUGGGGUGCUCGAGUGGCGAACGGGUGAGUAACACGUGAGUAACCUGCCCUUGACUUUGGGAUAACUUCAGGAAACUGGGGCUAAUACCGGAUAGGAGCUCCUGCUGCAUGGUGGGGGUUGGAAAGUUUCGGCGGUUGGGGAUGGACUCGCGGCUUAUCAGCUUGUUGGUGGGGUAGUGGCUUACCAAGGCUUUGACGGGUAGCCGGCCUGAGAGGGUGACCGGCCACAUUGGGACUGAGAUACGGCCCAGACUCCUACGGGAGGCAGCAGUGGGGAAUAUCGCACAAUGGGCGGAAGCCUGAUGCAGCAACGCCGCGUGCGGGAUGACGGCCUUCGGGUUGUAACCGCUUUCGCCUGUGACGAAGCGUGAGUGACGGUAAUGGGUAAAGAAGCACCGGCUAACUACGUG